RNAcentral lists this ribosomal RNA (468 nucleotides) under uncultured bacterium. RNAcentral describes it as "partial 16S ribosomal RNA". It matches the Rfam family "Bacterial small subunit ribosomal RNA", at positions 28 to 507 of the family's 1533-position model. The record is from RNAcentral.
GACGAACGCUGGCGGCGUGCUUAACACAUGCAAGUCGAACGGAAAGGCCCUGCUUUUGUGGGGUGCUCGAGUGGCGAACGGGUGAGUAACACGUGAGUAACCUGCCCUUGACUUUGGGAUAACUUCAGGAAACUGGGGCUAAUACCGGAUAGGAGCUCCUGCUGCAUGGUGGGGGUUGGAAAGUUUCGGCGGUUGGGGAUGGACUCGCGGCUUAUCAGCUUGUUGGUGGGGUAGUGGCUUACCAAGGCUUUGACGGGUAGCCGGCCUGAGAGGGUGACCGGCCACAUUGGGACUGAGAUACGGCCCAGACUCCUACGGGAGGCAGCAGUGGGGAAUAUUGAACAAUGGGCGGAAGCCUGAUGCAGCAACGCCGCGUGCGGGAUGACGGCCUUCGGGUUGUAAACCGCUUUCGCCUGUGACGAAGCGUGAGUGGCGGUAAUGGGUAAAGAAGCACCGGCUAACUACGUG